AACGCACAUUGCGCCCGCCAGCAUUCUGGCGGGCAUGCCUGUUCGAGCGUCAUUUCAACCCUCGACUUCCCUUUGGGGAAAUCGGCGUUGGGGAACGGCAGCAUACCGCCGGCCCCGAAAUGAAGUGGCGGCCCGUCCGCGGCGACCUCUGCGUAGUAAUCCAACUCGCACCGGAACCCCGACGUGGCCACGCCGUAAAACACCCAACUUCUGAACGUUGACCUCGGAUCAGGUAGGAAUACCCGCUGAACUUAA
RNAcentral lists this unclassified non-coding RNA (255 nucleotides) under uncultured fungus. RNAcentral describes it as "partial contains 5.8S ribosomal RNA, internal transcribed spacer 2, and large subunit ribosomal RNA". RNAcentral also lists the same sequence under 1 other name. Lineage: Eukaryota; Fungi. The record is from RNAcentral.